GUUACACUCCUGAAACAUUAAGAUGAUUUGUUUUCUGAUAAGUGUAUUUCUGCUUUCUGUACAAGGCUCCUGUGGACAGAUUGUGAUGACUCAGUUUCCAGAAUUUCUUACUGUGUCAUCAGGAGAAAGUGUCACCAUGAAAUGUGAAGCCAGUGAUGACAUAUAUGAUGCUAUAGCCUGGUACCAACAGAAACCAGGACAACCUCCAAAGCUUCUUAUCUAUGCUGCAAGCAGCAGAGACACAGGGGUCCCAGACAGGUUCAGCGGCAGUGGGUCUGGUACUGAUUACACGUUUACAGUUAGCAGAGUGCAAGCAGAAGAUGCAGCAGAUUAUUACUGUCAGCAGGGUGCUAGCUUCCCUCUCACAGUGAUACAGAGCUGUACAAAAACCUUCCCUACGUUUCCGCUGCUUCAUUACUAUCAACUGUUCAGUAAACAUAUUUAG
Non-coding RNA from Bombina bombina (fire-bellied toad), 445 nucleotides. The record is from the annotation of a RefSeq genome assembly. Lineage: Eukaryota; Metazoa; Chordata; Amphibia; Anura; Bombinatoridae.